This 826-nucleotide ribosomal RNA is filed under the name Cellulosimicrobium sp. MOLA 1544. RNAcentral describes it as "bacterial SSU rRNA". It matches the Rfam family "Bacterial small subunit ribosomal RNA", at positions 24 to 862 of the family's 1533-position model. The record is from RNAcentral. Lineage: Bacteria; Bacillati; Actinomycetota; Actinomycetes; Micrococcales; Promicromonosporaceae.
UCAGGACGAACGCUGGCGGCGUGCUUUACACAUGCAAGUCGAACGAUGAUGCCCAGCUUGCUGGGUUGAUUAGUGGCGAACGGGUGAGUAACACGUGAGUAACCUGCCCCUGACUUCGGGAUAAGCGCUGGAAACGGCGUCUAAUACCGGAUAUGAGCUGUCCUCGCAUGGGGAUGGUUGGAAAGUUUUUCGGUUGGGGAUGGGCUCGCGGCCUAUCAGCUUGUUGGUGGGGUGAUGGCCUACCAAGGCGACGACGGGUAGCCGGCCUGAGAGGGCGACCGGCCACACUGGGACUGAGACACGGCCCAGACUCCUACGGGAGGCAGCAGUGGGGAAUAUUGCACAAUGGGCGAAAGCCUGAUGCAGCGACGCCGCGUGAGGGAUGACGGCCUUCGGGUUGUAAACCUCUUUCAGUAGGGAAGAAGCGAAAGUGACGGUACCUGCAGAAGAAGCGCCGGCUAACUACGUGCCAGCAGCCGCGGUAAUACGUAGGGCGCAAGCGUUGUCCGGAAUUAUUGGGCGUAAAGAGCUCGUAGGCGGUUUGUCGCGUCUGGUGUGAAAACUCGAGGCUCAACCUCGAGCUUGCAUCGGGUACGGGCAGACUAGAGUGUGGUAGGGGUGACUGGAAUUCCUGGUGUAGCGGUGGAAUGCGCAGAUAUCAGGAGGAACACCGAUGGCGAAGGCAGGUCACUGGGCCACUACUGACGCUGAGGAGCGAAAGCAUGGGGAGCGAACAGGAUUAGAUACCCUGGUAGUCCAUGCCGUAAACGUUGGGCACUAGGUGUGGGGCUCAUUCCACGAGUUCCGUGCCGCAGCUAACGCAUUA